GCUGACUGGGAGCCGCUGCGUGGCUGUGCUUGCGCCGCGCGGGGCGCAGUCAUCCGCAGUGCGUGGCCGCUGACCGCGGCGCGGAUUGGGCCUGGGCCUGGCCGAGCGAGGGCCGCCGCGGGGGCUCGCCAAGCAUGGUGCCGGUGAGCGCGAUGGAGUUGGGGAAGAUUUCAGAUUGACGAUGAGGAAGUGCUAGAGCAUGGCUGUAUCGCCGGAUUGUCGAAGGCCAGAGCAGCGGUUGUCAGCCUCGCCAUCGUCAUGAACGAGGCAGAGGAGGCGGGGCGACGAGUUCCGGCGACAGUGCAACUUCGAUCCCCUUCUGGAUUCCCUCUCGAGAGCGCAGAACUGAGAGUAGUGCGUUCUCCUCUACAUGUUCUCGUAGAGCGGUGCUGAUAACGUGUUAAAGCGUGAAUGUAAAUGAACAAGAUUUGGGAACAACCGAUGUUUUCAUUGAUCUCUUUGGAAUAUAUACAAGUGAACGGUUGCGUCGUA
This is a long non-coding RNA of Panicum virgatum (switchgrass), 492 nucleotides long. RefSeq lists it as uncharacterized. NCBI's taxonomy places the organism in Eukaryota, Viridiplantae, Streptophyta, Magnoliopsida, Poales, Poaceae. The transcript has 2 exons. The record is from RefSeq and is a predicted model, not a curated record.